AGAGAGAGAGAGAGAGGGCAGGCAGGCAACCAGUGACGUCAUAGGACAAUAGGAGCAUCUGGGGCGAUCAGCUGUUGUCUGAUCAGCUGUUUCCGGCCCCUUUCCUCGCCUCUCCUCUCCCUGCCGCACGUCACAGCUGCCAUGCACGUGCUGCACACCACGGGAAGGAGCACAGAUGAGUCUCACUCACCACCUCAGCUCAAUACUCACUUACACAACGCAACUCCUCACACACCAACACACCAGCACUGCACCACCAUACCCUCACCACCCCACCCACACUUGUCUCUCAUUCCCAGCGGUGUAAGGAAAGUGUAGGUGACCAGAAGAGCGUAAGGAGGCUUCACGUGCGCUGCAGAGAGAGAGAGAGAGAGAGAGAGAGAGAGAGAGAGAGAGAGAGAGAGAGAGAGAGAGAGAGAGAGAGAGAGAGAGAGAGAGAGAU
Molecule: long non-coding RNA, 442 nt
Organism: Portunus trituberculatus (swimming crab)
Lineage: Eukaryota; Metazoa; Arthropoda; Malacostraca; Decapoda; Portunidae
Exons: 2
Source: RefSeq, a predicted model, not a curated record